This 438-nucleotide ribosomal RNA is filed under the name uncultured bacterium. Its description in RNAcentral is "bacterial SSU rRNA". It matches the Rfam family "Bacterial small subunit ribosomal RNA", at positions 352 to 782 of the family's 1533-position model. The record is from RNAcentral.
CAGUCGAGAAUAAUUCACAAUGGGGGCAACCCUGAUGGUGCAACGCCGCGUGGAGGAUGAAGGUCUUCGGAUUGUAAACUCCUGUCAUCCGGGAGUAAGACCUGACGGUGAAUAGCCGGCAGGGUUGAUAUUACCGGAAGAGGAAGGGACGGCUAACUUCGUGCCAGCAGCCGCGGUAAUACGAAGGUCCCGAGCGUUGUUCGGAAUCACUGGGCGUAAAGGGAGCGUAGGCGGCGCGGUAAGUCAGAUGUGAAAUCCCGGGGCUCAACCCCGGAACUGCAUCCGAUACUGCCGUGCUAGAGGAUUGGAGAGGUAGCUGGAAUUCUUGGUGUAGCAGUGAAAUGCGUGGAGAUCAAGAGGAACACUCGUGGCGAAAGCGAGCUACUGGACAAUAUCUGACGCUGAGGCUCGAAGGCCAGGGUAGCGAAAGGGAUUAGA